Salmo salar (Atlantic salmon) is the source of this 340-nucleotide non-coding RNA. NCBI's taxonomy places the organism in Eukaryota, Metazoa, Chordata, Actinopteri, Salmoniformes, Salmonidae. The record is from RefSeq and is a predicted model, not a curated record.
UUAAAGGAUGAGAGAGGGAGGGGUCUGACUGGAUGGGUCCUUAAAAAAGGAGAGCAGGAAGCGGUAGAACUCAACUCACAAACAGAGCGCUGACAUGACCAGACUGCAGGAGACUAUCACCAUGGCGAUGUUGACCCUUCUACUGCUUCUCAGCGCUGCCUUUACACUGGGCGACAUAAUGACUGCGAACAUAGCAAAUGAUUUGGUGAAAUUUGCAGCAGACAAAAGAAACCCAUGCCCCAGAGGCUGGUUCCAAUUUAAUUCACGCUGCUUCAUGUUUGUCAAAACUGCAAUGACAUGGCCCAAAGCAGAGGUAUAAUGCUUACCCUCUACAAUUGAA